RNAcentral lists this ribosomal RNA (374 nucleotides) under uncultured organism. Its description in RNAcentral is "bacterial SSU rRNA". It matches the Rfam family "Bacterial small subunit ribosomal RNA", at positions 526 to 896 of the family's 1533-position model. The record is from RNAcentral.
CGUAGGAGACGUAGCGUUAUCCGGAUUUACUGGGCGUAAAGCGUGUGCAGGCGGCUCGGCAAGUUGGAUGUGAAAUCUCCCGGCUCAACUGGGAGGGGUCGUUCAAAACUACCGAACGUUGAGGUCAUCAGAGGAAGGUGGAAUUCCGGGUGUAGUGGUGAAAUGCGUAGAUAUCCGGAGGAACACCAGUGGCGAAGGCGGCCUUCUGGGAUGAUCCUGACGCUCAGACACGAAAGCUAGGGGAGCGAACGGGAUUAGAGACCCCGGUAGUCCUAGCUGUAAACGAUGUAGACUUGGCGUCGGAGGGUUCAAAACCUUCGGUGUCGUAGCUAACGCGAUAAGUCUACCGCCUGGGGACUACGGCCGCAAGGUUA